Molecule: long non-coding RNA, 77 nt
Organism: Amblyraja radiata (thorny skate)
Lineage: Eukaryota; Metazoa; Chordata; Chondrichthyes; Rajiformes; Rajidae
Exons: 3
Source: RefSeq, a predicted model, not a curated record
CCAUAUCUGCCUAAACCUUUUCUCUCUAUGUACCUGUGCAAUUGCCUUUUAAAUGUUGUGGUACCUGCCUCAACUAC